GACGAACGCUGGCGGCGUGCUUAACACAUGCCAGUCGAACGCGCCUGUCCUCUGGGUUUCUGGGGGGUGGGUGAGUGGCGAACGGGUGAGUAACACGUGAGUAACCUGCCCCCUUCUUCGGGAUAACGGUCUGAAAGGGCUGCUAAUACCGGGUAUUCACUGGUCUCCGCAUGGGGUCUGGUGGAAAGGUUUUUUUCUGGUGGGGGAUGGGCUCGCGGCCUAUCAGCUUGUUGGUGGGGUGAUGGCCCACCAAGGCUUUGACGGGUAGCCGGCCUGAGAGGGUGACCGGUCACAUUGGGACUGAGAUACGGCCCAGACGCCUACGGGAGGCAGCAGUGGGGAAUAUUGCACAAUGGGCGCAAGCCUGAUGCAGCGACGCCGCGUGAGGGAUGGAGGCCUUCGGGUUGUGAACCUCUUUCGCCCGUGGUCAAGCCGCGACGUGGGUCGUGGUGAGGGUAGUGGGUAAAGAAGCGCCGGCUAACUACGUG
This 488-nucleotide ribosomal RNA is filed under the name uncultured bacterium. RNAcentral's name for it is "partial 16S ribosomal RNA". It matches the Rfam family "Bacterial small subunit ribosomal RNA", at positions 28 to 507 of the family's 1533-position model. The record is from RNAcentral.